AGUGAACGCUGGCGGUAGGCCUAACACAUGCAAGUCGAACGGCAGCACAGUAAGAGCUUGCUCUUACGGGUGGCGAGUGGCGAACGGGUGAGGAAUACAUCGGAAUCUACUUUUUCGUGGGGGAUAACGUAGGGAAACUUACGCUAAUACCGCAUGCGACCUACGGGUGAAAGCAGGGGAUCUUCGGACCUUGCGCGAUUGAAUGAGCCGAUGUCGGAUUAGCUAGUUGGCGGGGUAAAGGCCCACCAAGGCGACGAUCCGUAGCUGGUCUGAGAGGAUGAUCAGCCACACUGGAACUGAGACACGGUCCAGACUCCUACGGGAGGCAGCAGUGGGGAAUAUUGGACAAUGGGCGCAAGCCUGAUCCAGCCAUACCGCGUGGGUGAAGAAGGCCUUCGGGUUGUAAAGCCCUUUUGUUGGGAAAGAAAAGCAGCAGGUUAAUACCCCGCUGUUCUGACGGUACCCAAAGAAUAAGCACCGGCUAACUUCGUG
Molecule: ribosomal RNA, 492 nt
Filed under: uncultured bacterium
Lineage: Bacteria
Description: partial 16S ribosomal RNA
Rfam family: Bacterial small subunit ribosomal RNA
Source: RNAcentral